AGAGUUUGAUCCUGGCUCAGAACGAACGCUGGCGGCACGCCUAACACAUGCAAGUCGAGCGCAGUUAUUUCCUUCGGGAUUUAGCCGAGCGGCGGACGGGUUAGUAACGCGUGGGAACGUACCCUUUACUACGGAAUAGCCUUUGGAAACGAAGAGUAAUACCGUAUACGCCCUUCGGGGGAAAGAUUUAUCGGUAAAGGAUCGGCCCGCGUAAGAUUAGAUAGUUGGUGGGGUAAUGGCCUACCAAGUCUACGAUCUUUAGCUGGUUUGAGAGGAUGAUCAGCAACACUGGGACUGAGACACGGCCCAGACUCCUACGGGAGGCAGCAGUGGGGAAUCUUAGACAAUGGGCGAAAGCCUGAUCUAGCGAUGCCGCGUGAGUGAAGAAGGCCUUAGGGUCGUAAAACUCUUUCGCCAGAGAUGAUAAUGACAGUAUCUGGUAAAGAAACCCCGGCUAACUCCGUGCCAGCAGCCGCGGUAAUACGGAGGGGGUUAGCGUUGUUCGGAAUUACUGGGCGUAAAGCGCACGUAGGCGGAUUGAUCAGUUAGAGGUGAAAUCCCAGGGCUCAA
Molecule: ribosomal RNA, 570 nt
Filed under: uncultured bacterium
Lineage: Bacteria
Description: bacterial SSU rRNA
Rfam family: Bacterial small subunit ribosomal RNA
Source: RNAcentral